This 280-nucleotide ribosomal RNA is filed under the name uncultured Pseudomonadota bacterium. Its description in RNAcentral is "uncultured proteobacterium partial 16S ribosomal RNA". It matches the Rfam family "Bacterial small subunit ribosomal RNA", at positions 338 to 609 of the family's 1533-position model. Lineage: Bacteria; Pseudomonadati; Pseudomonadota. The record is from RNAcentral.
CCUACGGGGGGCAGCAGUGGGGAAUCUUGCGCAAUGGGCGAAAGCCUGACGCAGCGACGCCGCGUGGGUGACGAAGGCCUUCGGGUUGUAAAGCCCUGUGGGGAGAGACGAACCGGGUCAUGGCUAACAUCCAUGGCUCCUGACGGUAUCUCUUUAGCAAGCAUCGGCUAACUCUGUGCCAGCAGCCGCGGUAAGACAGAGGAUGCAAACGUUGCUCGGAAUUACUGGGCGUAAAGCGCGCGCAGGUGGUCUCGUAAGUCGGGUGUGAAAGCCCGGGGCU